Molecule: ribosomal RNA, 253 nt
Filed under: uncultured bacterium
Lineage: Bacteria
Description: partial 16S ribosomal RNA
Rfam family: Bacterial small subunit ribosomal RNA
Source: RNAcentral
UACGUAGGGUGCGAGCGUUAAUCGGAAUUACUGGGCGUAAAGCGUGCGCAGGCGGUUCGUUGUGUCGGCGGUGAAAGCCCCGGGCUUAACCUGGGAAUGGCCGUCGAAACUGGCGAACUGGAGUGUGGCAGAGGGGGGUGGAAUUCCGCGUGUAGCAGUGAAAUGCGUAGAGAUGCGGAGGAACACCGAUGGCGAAGGCAGCCCCCUGGGCUGACACUGACGCUCAGGCACGAAAGCGCGGGGAGCAAACAGG